RNAcentral lists this ribosomal RNA (497 nucleotides) under uncultured bacterium. RNAcentral's name for it is "partial 16S ribosomal RNA". It matches the Rfam family "Bacterial small subunit ribosomal RNA", at positions 28 to 507 of the family's 1533-position model. The record is from RNAcentral.
GAUGAACGCUGGCGGCGUGCCUAAUACAUGCAAGUCGAGCGAACGGACGAGAAGCUUGCUUCUCUGAUGUUAGCGGCGGACGGGUGAGUAACACGUGGAUAACCUACCUAUAAGACUGGGAUAACUUCGGGAAACCGGAGCUAAUACCGGAUGAUCUUUUGAACCGCAUGGUUCAAAAGUGAAAGACGGUCUUGCUGUCACGUAUAGAUGGAUCCGCGCUGCAUUAGCUAGUUGGUAAGGUAACGGCUUACCAAGGCAACGAUGCAUAGCCGACCUGAGAGGGUGAUCGGCCACACUGGAACUGAGACACGGUCCAGACUCCUACGGGAGGCAGCAGUAGGGAACCUUCCGCAAUGGGGGAAAGCCUGACGGAGCAACGCCGCGUGAGUGAUGAAGGUCUUCGGAUCGUAAAACUCUGUUAUUAGGGAAGAACAGAUGUGUAAGUAACUGUGCACAUCUUGACGGUACCUAAUCAGAAAGCCACGGCUAACUACGUG